UUCUACAGCCAUGCUAUCCUGAACAAGCCCAAUCUCGUCUGAUCUCAGAAGCUAAGCAUGGUGGGGUCUGGUUAGUACUUGGAUGGAAGACCACCUAGGAAGAACAGGUGCUGUAGGCA
Molecule: ribosomal RNA, 119 nt
Organism: Pteropus vampyrus (large flying fox)
Lineage: Eukaryota; Metazoa; Chordata; Mammalia; Chiroptera; Pteropodidae
Source: Ensembl